Molecule: ribosomal RNA, 490 nt
Filed under: uncultured bacterium
Lineage: Bacteria
Description: partial 16S ribosomal RNA
Rfam family: Bacterial small subunit ribosomal RNA
Source: RNAcentral
GAUGAACGCUAGCGAUAGGCUUAACACAUGCAAGUCGAGGGGCAGCAUGGUCUUAGCUUGCUAAGGCUGAUGGCGACCGGCGCACGGGUGCGUAACGCGUAUGCAACUUGCCUCACAGAGGGGGAUAACCCGUCGAAAGACGGACUAAUACCGCGUACACUCUAUGUUGGGCAUCCAAUGUAGAGGAAAUGAAAUUCGCUGUGAGAUAGGCAUGCGUCCCAUUAGCUAGUUGGUGAGGUAACGGCUCACCAAGGCGACGAUGGGUAGGGGAACUGAGAGGUUGAACCCCCACACUGGUACUGAGACACGGACCAGACUCCUACGGGAGGCAGCAGUGAGGAAUAGUGGUCAAUGGGCGAGAGCCUGAACCAGCCAAGUCGCGUGAAGGAUGACUGUCUUAUGGAUUGUAAACUUCUUUUAUACGGGAAUAACAAGAGUCACGUGUGGCUCCCUGCAUGUACCGUAUGAAUAAGCAUCGGCUAACUCCGUG